Molecule: ribosomal RNA, 516 nt
Filed under: uncultured bacterium
Lineage: Bacteria
Description: bacterial SSU rRNA
Rfam family: Bacterial small subunit ribosomal RNA
Source: RNAcentral
AGUUGAUAUGGCUCAGGAUGAACGCUAGCUACAGGCUUAACACAUGCAAGUCGAGGGGCAGCAUAUCGAAGCUUGCUUGAUAGAUGGCGACCGGCGCACGGGUGAGUAACGCGUAUCCAACCUUCCCAUCACUCAGGGAUAGCCCGCCGAAAGGCGAAUUAAUACCUGAUGGUCUCCUUCGCGGACAUCUAACGAGGAGUAAAGAUUUAUUGGUGAUGGAUGGGGAUGCGUCUGAUUAGGUAGUAGGCGGGGUAACGGCCCACCUAGCCGACGAUCAGUAGGGGUUCUGAGAGGAAGGUCCCCCACAUUGGAACUGAGACACGGUCCAAACUCCUACGGGAGGCAGCAGUGAGGAAUAUUGGUCAAUGGACGGAAGUCUGAACCAGCCAAGUAGCGUGCCAGGAUGACGGCCCUAUGGGUUGUAAACUGCUUUUGUGCGGGAAUAAAGUAUGGGACGUGUCCCAUUUUGCAUGUACCGCACGAAUAAGGACCGGCUAAUUCCGUGCCAGCAGCCGC